GCCCCGCCUGCAUCCCUGGGCCCCGGACCUCACUGUAGCGCUCCCCAGGCUUUCCGAGCGGAGGUGAGCAGUGUGGUCAUUAAGAAGGUUGCUCAGAUACCCAGGAGGCUGCCAAAUUUCACUACUGCUUCAGUCCAGUGAGAAGACAACCCUAUGGCCUGGGCCACCUGUAUGCACGUUGUGACUACAGCUCCCAAUGUAUCUGUGUCUACUGUUUUGUUGCUUGUCUGUUGCCACAGGGAUUUGAGAGUCAUUGGAAUCCAGUGGCAAGACAAAAGUCA
This is a long non-coding RNA of Vombatus ursinus (common wombat), 281 nucleotides long. RefSeq lists it as uncharacterized. The transcript has 3 exons. NCBI's taxonomy places the organism in Eukaryota, Metazoa, Chordata, Mammalia, Diprotodontia, Vombatidae. The record is from RefSeq and is a predicted model, not a curated record.